AUUUAACAAACGCUGGCCUAGACAUUCAAUUUGGGCUGUCGCUCGAAGCCCAAAUCUUCUCGGUCUCUCACCCACUCGCCAGAGGCAGACACGACAAGGGCGACGGCGAUGGCCUCGCCGAAGCUCGCCGCCGGCGACGGCAGCUACGACUUCCACCUCCGCUCGCUCUCCGCCGCAUCACGGGACUCCGCCGCGGCCGCCGAUCCCGCCUCCGACCCCAACCUCCUCCAGUCGGUGCGGAUGGUGUUCGAGAUGUGCAAGGAGGCCAAGGGGGCCAACGACGAGAUGGUGGCGCGGGCGUUCCCCGUGAUGAACAAGCUCUUCCAGCGCUGCGCCGCCGCGCCCACGCUCUCCACGGCCUCCACCGGCGUGCUCCUUCUGACCAUUCUGCAGUUCUUCCUGGACUUUGGGGAGGCGGUCUUGCACGACGCUGAUGGUAGCUUGAAAACCUUCUUCCGCUCUUGCUUAAGUAGGGAGUUUUCAGACCCUAUUGUCGCAGAACGCACGCUUGAAUUCCUGAUAGCGAACAAGACGAAGAUCUUGAACUGCUUCCCCACCCUGGUUCCGCAGUUCUUCCCAUUGCUGCUGAAGUUGAUUGCAUCAAAUGGUGAUAGGUUGGAUAAGAAGUUCUCAGAAGUGCUACCAUUGAUGAUGUCAGCAGGAUCUUUUCUUCCUCUCUUCCUGUCCCUUAUGGAUCUGCCAAUGUUAGUGGUAGCACUGGAAAAGGUGGAAAGAAGUUCUGGAACUCUCAUCGGUAGUAGUUUAGCUACUAUACAGAAGAGUGCUGCUCCUGAGAUGCUCCUUGCACUGAUGGAUGAGGCAUAUACUGGCUCCUCAAUAGAAGAUCAAAGUGGCAAUUCAGGUUCUGAUGAUAGUGGUCGUCUAGACCUUGCUGACCCAAUGUUCCUUGACCUUCUAAAAGACGAGAAUGAUGGCAUUGCUGCAAAACAUUGGACAUCCCCUACGAUAUCUUCAACGUUACAAGCUGCACUUAACAGCCCACAGUCUGACAGAUUAAAACAGUCACUGAAAAUGGCACCUCGCUUUCUUACUGUAUAUUUUGCGACAGCAUUGCGGGAUGUCAACAACUCACUCUUGUGUGCUCUGAUUCCAGUAGCUAUGUCAAGAUAUGCUGCGAUGUUCCCUGACAAGGAUUUUUCUUUCGAGGUGAGGAAAAAGCUGUCGGAUUUCUUAUUAGCUGCAUUCCAGCGCUCCCCUGACAUCAUUGCGCUACUAAAGAAGCCUAUUACUGAUAGACUUGGGGAGGCCCAUGGUAAUCCUGCAAAGAUGGAAUUAGCAUUGCAUUUGUGUUGGGCCAUUGGUGAGCAUGGAGCAGGAGGGAUAAAGCACAAAGAUGUAGCACGUGAACUAUUUGAAAAUCUGGAGUUGCUACUAUACGAAAACCUGGCAACUAGUCGUUUGGGAUUAAGUCAAGAUCCAGGGUUCGAUUCUAUGGGUGCAAGCUCUAGAAAGUCAUCCCAAGCUAGGCUCCUCUGCUUUGUGGUGACUGCCAUUGCGAAGCUAGCAACUUGCCAUAACGAGCUGCUUCCAAGAGCACGUGUGUCAUUGGCUAAGUUGCUUUCCUGCAGGUCGCUCGGUCCAGGACCUCAGACAGGCGAGUCUGGCAGCGCGCCUGUGACUAUUUAGGGCUCAUGAAUGAACCAGCCAUUUGUUUGUCUGUACUGGGACCAUCCACUGCCCAAGGAAAUGGUCCUGGGAUUGUGAACUGGAGCGAAGGAGGAACCAAGAUGGUAGCUCACAUUCCGUUUUACCUUUUAGCAGAACAGAAAGGUCCACCAUCUCAUGAUUUUUCAUACACGGACCUCCUCCCCGCAGAAUGAGAACACCGUCAUGAGUAUGGAUCCAUGCAAUGAUUCUCUUGCAAACGCCAUGUGCACAGAGAUCAUUGGUGAUCAUAGCCUGCUGAAGAUGAUUCAAGUGCCAAUGCCGCCUUCUUUUAUUCAGUUCAUCUUUUCGAUCGAGAAGUGCUGGCCCGUUAGUCUGAUGAGUUCCUAAACUGUUGUAGUUUCUGGGAUCUGGCUGGUAUUGAUCAACUGUGCAGUUUGUGGGGAUGUAGAUGGUAUUCAGAAACGCUCAAUGUUGUACUGAAAGGGCGGCAGUGUUGUAAAUUUAAGAUAUCUGAUGGUGUUGUACACACAUCUACUAAUGGGCUGUUCUUGUGAUUGGGGACGAAAAA
RNA transcript from Aegilops tauschii subsp. strangulata, 2197 nucleotides. RefSeq lists it as uncharacterized. Lineage: Eukaryota; Viridiplantae; Streptophyta; Magnoliopsida; Poales; Poaceae. The record is from RefSeq and is a predicted model, not a curated record.